CCUACGGGUGGCAGCAGUGGGGGAUAUUGCACAAUGGGGGGAACCCUGAUGCAGCGACGCCGCGUGGGUGAAGGAGUGCUUCGGCAUGUAAAGCCCUAUCGGCAGGGAAGAAGCAAGACGGUACCUGACUAAGAAGCCCCGGCUAACUACGUGCCAGCAGCCGCGGUAAUACGUAGGGGGCGAGCGUUAGCCGGAUUCACUGGGUGUAAAGGGAGCGGAGACGGCCAUGCAAGCCAGGGGUGAAAGCCCGGGGCCCAACCCCGGGACUGCCCUUGGAACUGUGCGGCUAGAGUGCGGGAGGGGCAGGCGGAAUUCCUGGUGUAGCGGUGAAAUGCGUAGAUAUCAGGAGGAACACUGGCGGCGAAGGCGGCCUGCUGGACCGCGACUGACGUUGAGGCUCGAAAGCGUGGGGAGCGAACAGGAUUAGAUACCCGGGUAGUC
This 441-nucleotide ribosomal RNA is filed under the name uncultured bacterium. RNAcentral's name for it is "partial 16S ribosomal RNA". It matches the Rfam family "Bacterial small subunit ribosomal RNA", at positions 338 to 795 of the family's 1533-position model. The record is from RNAcentral.